Molecule: ribosomal RNA, 253 nt
Filed under: uncultured bacterium
Lineage: Bacteria
Description: partial 16S ribosomal RNA
Rfam family: Bacterial small subunit ribosomal RNA
Source: RNAcentral
UACGUAGGCAGCGAGCGUUGUUCGGAAUUACUGGGCGUAAAGAGUGUGUAGGCGGUGUUCCCAGUCUGUUGUGAAAUCUCCGGGCUUAACUCGGAAAGGUCAACUGAUACUGUGCGACUAGAGUGCAGAAGGGGCAACUGGAAUUCUCGGUGUAGCGGUGAAAUGCGUAGAUAUCGAGAGGAACACCUGCGGCGAAGGCGGGUUGCUGGGCUGACACUGACGCUGAUGCGCGAAAGCCAGGGGAGCGAACGGG